Molecule: ribosomal RNA, 468 nt
Filed under: uncultured bacterium
Lineage: Bacteria
Description: partial 16S ribosomal RNA
Rfam family: Bacterial small subunit ribosomal RNA
Source: RNAcentral
GACGAACGCUGGCGGCGUGCUUAAUACAUGCAAGUCGAACGGAAAGGCCCUGCUUUUGUGGGGUGCUCGAGUGGCGAACGGGUGAGUAACACGUGAGUAUCCUGCCCUUGACUUUGGGAUAACUUCAGGAAACUGGGGCUAAUACCGCAUAUGAUCUCCUGCUGCAUGGUGGUGGUUGGAAAAUUUCGGCGGUUGGGGCUGGACUCGCGGCUUAUCAGCUUGUUGGUGGGGUAGUGGCUUACCAAGGCUUUGACGGGUAGCCGGCCUGAGAGGGUGACCGGCGACAUGGGGACUGAGAUACGGCCCAGACUCCUACGGGAGGCAGCAGUGGGGAAUAUUGCGCAAUGGGCGGAAGCCUGAUGCGGCAACGCCGCGUGCGGGAUGACGGCCUUCGGGUUGUAAACCGCUUUCGCCUGUGACGAAGCGUGAGCGACGGUAAUGGGUAAAGAAGCACCGGCUAACUACGUG